CAAUAGCGUAUAUUAAAGUUGUUGCAGUUAAAAAGCUCGUAGUUGGAUUUGUGGCUGUCACGGGCGGCCUAUCACUUAGUGUUAGUGCUUGCCUGUGUCGCCAUCCUUGGGUGGAGCCCGUGUGGCAUUAGGUUGUCGUGCGGGGGAUGCCCAUCGUUUACUGUGAGAAAAUUAGAGUGUUCAAAGCAGGCUUAUGCCAUUGAAUAUGUUAGCAUGGAAUAAUAAGAUAGGACCUCGGUACUAUUUUGUUGGUCUGCGCACCGAGGUAAUGAUUAAUAGGGACAGUUGGGGGUAUUCGUAUUUCAUUGUCAGAGGUGAAAUUCUUGGAUUUCUGAAAGACGAACUACUGCGAAAGCAUUUACCAAGGAUGUUUUCAUUAA
Molecule: ribosomal RNA, 380 nt
Filed under: uncultured eukaryote
Lineage: Eukaryota
Description: partial 18S ribosomal RNA
Rfam family: Eukaryotic small subunit ribosomal RNA
Source: RNAcentral